Molecule: ribosomal RNA, 290 nt
Filed under: uncultured bacterium
Lineage: Bacteria
Description: partial 16S ribosomal RNA
Rfam family: Archaeal small subunit ribosomal RNA
Source: RNAcentral
GUGCCAGCAGCCGCGGUAAUACCGGCAGCCCAAGUGAUGGCCGAUCUUAUUGGGCCUAAAGCGUCCGUAGCUGGCUGCGCAAGUCCGUCGGGAAAUCCACUCGCUCAACGAGUGGGCGUCCGACGGAAACUGCACAGCUUGGGACCGGAAGGCUCGAAGGGUACGUUCGGGGUAGGAGUGAAAUCCCAUAAUCCCGCACGGACCACCGAUGGCGAAAGCACUUCGAGAAAACGGAUCCGACAGUGAGGGACGGAAGCCAGGGUCACCAACCGGAAUAGAAACCCUGGAGU